This 72-nucleotide transfer RNA is filed under the name Ictidomys tridecemlineatus (thirteen-lined ground squirrel). RNAcentral describes it as "Spermophilus tridecemlineatus (thirteen-lined ground squirrel) tRNA". It matches the Rfam family "tRNA". Rfam says of the family: Transfer RNA (tRNA) molecules are approximately 80 nucleotides in length. Their secondary structure includes four short double-helical elements and three loops (D, anti-codon, and T loops). Lineage: Eukaryota; Metazoa; Chordata; Mammalia; Rodentia; Sciuridae. The record is from Rfam by way of RNAcentral.
GGCGAUAUGGCUCAGUGGUAGUGUGCUUGCCUACUUUGCAUAAGACUCUGGGUUCAAUCCCCAGUAUGGCAA